RNAcentral lists this ribosomal RNA (293 nucleotides) under uncultured bacterium. RNAcentral's name for it is "partial 16S ribosomal RNA". It matches the Rfam family "Archaeal small subunit ribosomal RNA", at positions 455 to 747 of the family's 1478-position model. The record is from RNAcentral.
GUGCCAGCAGCCGCGGUAAUACCGGCAGCCCAAGUGAUGGCCGGUAUUAUUGGGCCUAAAGCGUCCGUAGCUGGCCGCGCAAGUCCGUCGGGAAAUCCACCCGCCCAACGGGUGGGCGUCCGACGGAAACUGCACAGCUUGGGACCGGAAGGCUCGGGGGGUACGUUCGGGGUAGGAGUGAAAUCCUAUAAUCCCGCACGGACCACCGAUGGCGAAAGCACUUCGAGAAAACGGAUCCGACAGUGAGGGACGAAAGCCAGGGUCUCCAACCGGAUUAGAAACCCGAGUAGUCC